RNAcentral lists this ribosomal RNA (469 nucleotides) under uncultured Acidobacteriota bacterium. RNAcentral describes it as "bacterial SSU rRNA". It matches the Rfam family "Bacterial small subunit ribosomal RNA", at positions 34 to 473 of the family's 1533-position model. Lineage: Bacteria; Pseudomonadati; Acidobacteriota. The record is from RNAcentral.
CGCUGGCGGCGUGCCUAACACAUGCAAGUCGAACGGGAAAACAGGGGCAACUCUGUGAGUACAGUGGCGUACGGGUGAGUAACACGUGACUACCUACCCUCGAGUGGGGGAUAACCCCGGGAAACCGGGGCUAAUACCGCAUAACAUCGCAAGAUCAAAGGAGCAAUUCGCUUGAGGAGGGGGUCGCGGCUGAUUAGCUAGUUGGUGGGGUAACGGCCCACCAAGGCGAUGAUCGGUAGCCGGGCUGAGAGGGCGCACGGGCCCCCUGGAACUGAAACACGGUCCAGACUCCUACGGGAGGCAGCAGUGGGGAAUUUUGCGCAAUGGGGGGAAACUCUGACGCAGCACCGCCCCGUGGAGGAUGAAGUCCCUUUGGGGACGUAACCUCCCUUUCCCCCGGAUGACUCUGACCGCCACGUGUGGUAUCUACCUUCUCCUGAAUUGCGCACGCGAACCCGCCGCAGGAUAA